Non-coding RNA from Protopterus annectens (West African lungfish), 1216 nucleotides. Lineage: Eukaryota; Metazoa; Chordata; Ceratodontiformes; Protopteridae. The record is from the annotation of a RefSeq genome assembly.
ACUUAACGCCUGACAGAAAUGACAAGAAAUGUUUCUGCUUGUUUCGACGCUUUGCAUUCUGCUUUGGAUAACAAGUAAUUGCAGUGCCUUUUCUGUAAUGCAGUCGCAGAAGUUUGUCAGCAGAAAGCCUGAUGAGGCUGUUGUCCUCUCGUGUGAGCAUGACGGGGACAGCAGCUAUAACUACUACAUCUACUGGUACCGACAGCUCCGGGGUCGUGGUGGGCUGCAGCUCAUGACCUACUCCUAUGCCAACAACCCACCUAAUGAUGAACAGGAGUUCAAAGGAAGACUGAUCACCACCAGAGACGGUAAACAGAAAAGUAACAUCACAAUCAACAGUCUAAACGUUACCGACACCGGAACGUAUUUCUGUGCAGCAAGCACUGCACAGCGAGGCAGCUCCCCUAGAGACCUAACAGAAAACUCCCCGCUGGUGCUGCUAGUAAAUUUAAAACAACUUAUAACACACAGGAAAAUAAUGGCUCUGCACCAACUGCGAACUGCAUCUCCUGUUUAAAAGGAAAAAACAAAAGGCUUUACAGCUCCAACUACACAAACAGGGGUCGACUGCAUUUCUUACUUAAGUGUUUAUUUUCAUACCCCCUCAACCUGCAGAUAUUGAACAAAGGUGCAAAGGCUGUUGAAUAGCAGAUUGCUCAUUCUUUCCCUAUUCAAACACAACUUAGAUCGAUUGAUGGGAAUAAGGAAAGUUACCCCCAGGACUGCUUCCUGCAUUACUAAUGGAUGGUGGCAGCUCCUAAAUGCCGUAUCCUGCAGCAGGGUCCCUUUUUAGUACUCAGUAGCAUGAUCCCAGAAACAUUUAUUCACAAAUGGGAAGUAUGGGAAUAAAAAUUAUGGUAAAAGUACCUUGAACACCCAAUAGGAUUACACAGCUAGGCUUAAAUAGCUCUUCAGGGCAAUUAGCCUACUAGUAUUUAUUUGUAAACAGACCUGUAAUGUUGGUACUUUUUCGGCUUAUGUAGUGGGAACAUUCAUGGAACAGUACAAAAAAGAGUAAUUGAUUAUUUCUUCAUUGUUCUUCAGUAUCUAGUCCACAGACUAAAAUAUUACUUUGACAGCAGGUUCAGUACAAAGCUCUGCCAGAAGCAGGCUGUGUAAAACUGCAGUGAGGUUGAUAUUAACCCCAGAAGUCCAUCUAGCAUCUGAGCCUGGUUUUGAUGCUAAAUCCUGACCAAGAUGGUCAAGGUCAUGGCCU